UCCCCGUUACCGGGGCAGUCUGAAUAGAAAAAUCCAACUAUUCAUAAGGGUUGCGCUCGCUGAUGGACUUAACCAAACAUCUCACGACACGAGCUGACGACGGUCAUGCAAGAUCUGUCACCGAGUUCAAUAAAGCACUCACUCCUUUCGGAGUAAUUCUCGGGAUGUCAAGCCCUGGUAAGGUUCUUCGUUUAUCAUCGAAUUAAAGAACACGCUCCACCGCUUGUGCGGGUCCCCGUCAAUUCCUUUAUGUUUUAGUCUUGCGACCGUACUCCACAGGCGGGAUACUUAACGCGUUAGCUUCGCUACUGAAGGGGUCGAUACCUCCAACAGCUAGUAUCCAUCGUUUACGGCGUGGACUAC
Molecule: unclassified non-coding RNA, 363 nt
Filed under: uncultured bacterium
Lineage: Bacteria
Description: contains 16S-23S intergenic spacer region
Source: RNAcentral